CAGCCGCCGCGGGAAUACGAAGGGGGCUAGCGUUGUUCGGAAUUACUGGGCGUAAAGCGUGCGCAGGCGGUUAUAUAAGACAGAUGUGAAAUCCCCGGGCUCAACCUGGGAACUGCAUUUGUGACUGUAUAGCUAGAGUACGGCAGAGGGGGAUGGAAUUCCGCGUGUAGCAGUGAAAUGCGUAGAUAUGCGGAGGAACACCGAUGGCGAAGGCAAUCCCCUGGGCCUGUACUGACGCUCAUGCACGAAAGCGUGGGGAGCAAACAGGAUUAGAUACCCCCGUAGUCCCUGUCUCUUAUAA
This 301-nucleotide ribosomal RNA is filed under the name uncultured bacterium. Its description in RNAcentral is "partial 16S ribosomal RNA". It matches the Rfam family "Bacterial small subunit ribosomal RNA", at positions 509 to 809 of the family's 1533-position model. The record is from RNAcentral.